ACUGAGGUUCUCCUUAACAAAGGCUGCUUCUAGCAAUCAAUUAUGGCCUCUUGAUUGUUGAUCAAAACCUUGUUCCCCUCUGCAUCCGGAACAUUCACCUUGCUGGCUUGGGAGGCAGUGCACACAGGACACUAGCCUCUGAAAUCUUCCAUCCUUCAGCCAGCACCUCCCUCCCGCCUGGACUGCGCUAGGCCACCUUGAGCAUGGUUUGAACUAUGGAAUGGCAACAUGCAAAUAAAAUGAUGUUUGUAUGUAUGUAGGGUUGACCCUGAACUUGUGCUCGUGUUCAAAGGUUAGGUUUCAGUUUCAUUCUUUAUUGCUGAUU
RNAcentral lists this long non-coding RNA (325 nucleotides) under Podarcis muralis (Common wall lizard). Its description in RNAcentral is "lncRNA (ENSPMRG00000003524.1)". Lineage: Eukaryota; Metazoa; Chordata; Lepidosauria; Squamata; Lacertidae. The record is from RNAcentral.